This 465-nucleotide ribosomal RNA is filed under the name Vreelandella stevensii. Its description in RNAcentral is "partial 16S ribosomal RNA". It matches the Rfam family "Bacterial small subunit ribosomal RNA", at positions 338 to 795 of the family's 1533-position model. Lineage: Bacteria; Pseudomonadati; Pseudomonadota; Gammaproteobacteria; Oceanospirillales; Halomonadaceae. The record is from RNAcentral.
CCUACGGGGUGCAGCAGUGGGGAAUAUUGGACAAUGGGCGAAAGCCUGAUCCAGCCAUGCCGCGUGUGUGAAGAAGGCCUUCGGGUUGUAAAGCACUUUCAGUGGGGAAGAAAGCCUUGGGGCUAAUACCCUCGAGGAAGGACAUCACCCACAGAAGAAGCACCGGCUAACUCCGUGCCAGCAGCCGCGGUAAUACGGAGGGUGCGCGCGUUAAUCGGAAUUACUGGGCGUAAAGCGCGCGUAGGCGGUCUGAUAAGCCGGUUGUGAAAGCCCCGGGCUCAACCUGGGAACGGCAUCCGGAACUGUCAGGCUAGAGUGCAGGAGAGGAAGGUAGAAUUCCCGGUGUAGCGGUGAAAUGCGUAGAGAUCGGGAGGAAUACCAGUGGCGAAGGCGGCCUUCUGGACUGACACUGACGCUGAGGUGCGAAAGCGUGGGUAGCAAACAGGAUUAGAUACCCGGGUAGUC